Onychostoma macrolepis is the source of this 5684-nucleotide RNA transcript. RefSeq lists it as uncharacterized. NCBI's taxonomy places the organism in Eukaryota, Metazoa, Chordata, Actinopteri, Cypriniformes, Cyprinidae. The transcript has 11 exons. The record is from RefSeq and is a predicted model, not a curated record.
GACGGAUUGUAUCUCACUGGAUCAGAGGGAUGUAAUGCCAGAGUAAAGUAAUGCCACAACUUCCAUAAUGCCACAACUUACACAUUGGUGUUCAGAUCAUCUUUUCUCCUGAAAACAAUCAAUGUAAUGGCAAUAUUUCCAUCCACUGAAUAUAAAUUCAAAUAUGGAAUUGUCAGAGGGCACUGCAAUGAUUAAUUCCCCAGACCUGUACCGCUGUCCUUCUCAUCUGGAGACCUUGACCGGGAUGGAUCAAUUGUUUGUCUUCAAAGAAGAAAAUAUGGAAGAAUGUCUUGCAGAAGUUUGCUGUGGAAUAAAGCCUUUCAAGAAAUAUAAUGUGAAGGACAACACUGGGAACAAGGUUUUUGGUAUUAUUGAGGACAGCGAGUGUUGUGAAAGGCAAUGCUUUGCUGGUGCACGUUCCUUCAUAAUGAAUGUUACUGACCACUCAAAUCAAGAGAUCAUCAGACUGGUGCACCCGUUUGUUUGCUGCAGCCAUGAGCUGGAGGUUCAGUCUCCACCGGGAACUGCCAUUGGAUAUGUUCAACAGAACUUGCAUGUUUGUCUACCUAAAUUCACUGUUGCGAAUGAACGAGGUGAACCAGCAUUUAACAUUGAGGGACCAUGUAUGGGUUGUACCUGCUGCACAGAUGAAAACUUCGAGCUGGUGUCUUUGAAUGGAGCAGCGAUAGACAGAUCAUUUGGCAAAAUCUUCAAACCUUUCUCAUAUAGUGAACCAAACGCAGGUGCAGAUUUUGUGUUGAGGUUUCCAAGACACCUGGAUGUCAAAAUGAAAGCUACAGUACUGGGAGCCUGCAUGCUUAUUGACUGCAUGUAUUAUGAAAGGUCACAAUAAAAAGAAACUUUACAGUAAGCCUACUUCAGACAGAAGAAAGGAUAAAAUACAUAUGUCUGACUGCUUGCCAAAACAUCCUCCAAUAAGGGCUGAAGAGAGAAUAAGUUACAUAUAUUUUUUAUUUUUUUUGUAUUGUAUCUCUAAAGACAAAAAUAUAAACAAACAAACAUACUUGCAAAUUGCAAAUGCUGUUAAAGUCACUAACAAUAUGGGUCAAUAUCACUGUAAGGUGCCUUUUGGUGUCCUGUACAUAACUCAUUUGCCAUGAUAAUUUAACAUAAAAAUGACUAUGAAGGUGUGUGUUAUAUUAGGCUAAGUUUUUAUAUUCAUGACAAAAGCAUUACUUGGCUCUUUAGAUACAUUUUCUAGAUUUUUUUUUAAUUUAUUUUUUAUAGAUUUGUAUAAGAGGAUGAAAUUCAUUAAAUUUGAAUGAUGGUAGAAUAUUGUCAAAUCAUAAAAUUAUGUUCUCCUAUUAAUAUUUUGGUAAAUAAGAGAUUACUCAAUUUGAGUGCAUUGAUCAUUUGGUAAUAAAAACUAUAUUUAUAUUUAAUAAAAAGAAGAGUUUGUCCAUGUCCCUUGAAUGGUUGUCCACCCUGUCGUAUUGGGGAAUCCACCCCUUUAAGAAAAGGCCAUCCCCUUUAGUGUAUUUAUAAUUUGAACACAAACAAAUAGCCCUGUUUAUGAAAGGCACAUCAUAUCUUUCAGAAAAUAUAAUUUGCAUCUUGAUUUUGCAAUGAAAACGUAUUUAACAGUAAUAUAUACAGUAUGUCCAUGACAGGGUGCCAUAAUUAUCUAAAAAAAAAAAAACGUGUGGGAGCUCAGCUAAUGUUUCUAUAGAACUUGAGUGUCUACAAUUUAUGACAUGACAUGAAGUGAAUGGGAAAUUAAAACUAAAUUUUUGAGUAUUGUGAGGGUUGAAAGGCACUCUAUUGACCCCUAUGUGUAUUUUGUAAAUUCUUUAAUUCAAAACUAACAAAUUACACAUUAUCACUAGCUGUUUCAGUUUGUGUUUCUCUUAUAAGAAGGUCAGCAGAGUUUUCAUGCGUCGUCUGAAAGUGAAGCAAACAGCAGUAACCACAAACAGCUUCAGCUGAGGUUCUUUGUAAUUCAACACAGGGGAUGUGAACACCACAACUGGCACUUCUCACACAAUUCACACAGAAUGUUAAAGCUUGUUGCCCUGUAAAAUUAAUUGCACAAACAUGUAUAUUGUCUCUAGACCUAUUCAUCUAUGUAUAUAUUUUUGUCAAUUUCAUUAUGCAACAAACAUCUGGAAAUUAUGCAUUUUGUAUCAGACAUUUGAAACUUCCAAUGUCUCAUAAAAAUAUUAACAUGUUAAUAAACUUGUUUGUUGUCUGAAAUGUUCCACUACCUGUUUGAUCUAAAAUUAAAUAUAUAAAGGCUGUCACAAAAACAGUUACAUAAAGCAAUGCACUAUUAUAUUCAUGAUAUAUUUUGCCCAUUCAAUCUUUAAGUUAUAGCCAAAUAAUUAGGAAUACUUAUCAUCAGGGGUGGACUGGGGCUAAAAAGUGGCCCUGGAAUUUCUGGCACAGAGCGACCCACCACAUCCGGUCUGCAAAACACCACACCAUAAACCCACCAGCUCAUUAUGCACAGAGAAAUAUUUAACACCAUUUACUAACAUAACAAUAUAACAUAAUAAAGGCCUACAAAUGCUAUCUAUUUUUCUUUUCUUUCUUCAGAUUUAUUUAUUUUUAUUUUUAUUUUUUUGCUUAUCAUUAACAUUAAUGAAUGACUGGCAUACUUAUUUACAUUAUAAUUUGUUUUUCCUUGUGUAUAUGGCAAUAAAUAAUUUUGAAGAAUUUUUCCACAGAUCUUUGACAUAGAGGGUCUCCUUUCCAACUGUGGAAAGGAGUUUGAAAAUUCUUAUGAUGAAAAAUACAGUAAACAGUAAUAUUGUGAAAUAUAUAAUGCUACUUGACCAGUAAAAUUUAGAUGGAUGUCGAUUGUAAUGGAAGUAAAAUUAUUACAGUAACAUACAGUAAUCGUACACUAUCAGACGCACAAGUCCGUUAUUAUUAAUGUACAAACAAACAGACGUGUAUGUGUGCUCUUUGAUAGCAGCUCUUAGGGGCAUUAGACUCUACGCGAACCCAGUAAAAGUGUCAUAAUAACCUGUCACCCACUGCCACAUACUGAAGAGUUGUUUGCAGAAAUACCUAACGCCACAGUGGUCUAACAACCACAUACCACCACAGUUGCCGUUACAUGAAGAGAACAGAAACUUAAUGGCAUUCAUUACACAUGACGGUCCAUUCAGAUAUAGGAAAAUUCCAUUCGGGUUGGUGCCCAUGCUGUCUACUUUUCAGAAAAUGAUGCACCCUGUUGUUGAAAGAUUUGCUGGGUAUACAGAAUUACCUGGAUGACAUAGUUGUCUAAGUAGCUUGAACACUGAGCAUGACAAACACCUCAGAACCAUGCUUGGUCAACUCACAGAUGUUGGUCUCCAGCUAAACUUUGAAAAUAAUUCAUUCAACCAACCAACGUUUUCAUUACAUGGGUCACAUUAUUUCUAAAGUUGUUUGAUUUGUAUUAGCUUCUACAUAAAUAUCAAACCUCAUUGGUUUUUGCAAGUCUUCUGAUCAAAUGUCACGACACAAGAACUAAUGAGGUUUGAUGUUGUUGUUGUAGUAUUAUGUUGUAAAUGUAAAUGACAAUUAUCAUCUUUGGUAAUCUAUCCUUUUUUCCUUUGGAGUUUAGCUUCAACCCCAAUUAAACACACCUAACCCAGCUAAUCAAGGUGUUCAGGAUCACUACAAACUUCCAGAUAGGUGUGUUGAACCUAGCCUGACUACGUCAGACUUCCUACUUCCGCUCAAUUUCAUUUCGCUUCUGCACUCAGUCUGAUAUAGCAAACCAUCUCCCAGUUUAUCUCCGGCUCCGCAGCAGCCGGGCCAAUCAACGAACAGAGGGCGGGCUGAGAGCCGUGACGUAGACGCUAAGCGCCGAAUUUAAGAUUGUAGUUUAGGUGAGGGACAUCUAACACGACAGCGGACAUGGAGACACGGGAUGCUAUUCGCUCUGUUGUGGUGAAUAUUCUCGGAAUUUGCCAACUGAAGCCCGAACAAGAAGCGUGUUUGGUUCACAUUUUGAAUGGAGGUGAUGUUGUGGCCCUACUCCCGACAGUUUUUGGGAAAAGUUUAAUUUAUCAACUGUUACCGAUCAUCAGCGAGAAACUGGGGAGGCCAAACUCCGGCAAGGCAAUAAUUGUGAUUGUGUGUGUGUGUGUGUGUGAGAUGUGAUUACUUCACAUAAUCUGCAAAAGUCGUUCACAGCCAUCUUCACUCCGGUAUUUCGCUCGAUCAACCGUGUAAUGACCACGGACUUAAUUAACCUCCGAAUCUGUGGUGGCAUCAUGGAAUCGCCGAAAAUUCUGUGAUGGGCUCACAGAAGGCAUCAGCCGUGGUCCAUGCACGGAUUCACUGGUUCAACACCAGCGCUGCAUCGAACCAUGCUGGCUCGAUGGUUUUGUUUUCGCCGCAUACCUGUGUUUACAGAGGAAGUUCGAGGCGGCUAAGCCGGCGAAUAACAUGCGUCAUAACCAACCGUUAUGUGAUUGGCUUACGGGUACACCAAUGAUUUUAAACUUCAGACAAGCGCCCGCCCACGAGAAAGUAAACGCUUGUCAAUUAUGCCCUUCCAGACUCUGUCUACGAAGCAAAGCGAAGUAGCAGAGUUUGGUAUUACCAGGCUAUGUUGAACCAGGUUGGAGUUAAAGUCUGCAAUACAUUAUUGGCCCUCCAGGAGCAGGAUUAGACACACCUGAUUUAAGUGGCAUGAGUUUGAAUCCACUAUUAAAUCUUAUUUUGGUACUGAACAAAAAGGUAACAAAUUGGUUUGUUGCACCUAAACAAAGGUUGCUGCACCACAUCACUGGUGUUUUAUUUACAACAAAAGUAUACAAGUGUAAAUGUGCAAAUUUGAAAUUAAUGUUUGUGUUUUGUUUUUUGUUUUAUAAAAAGCAUCAAAGACAAAGAGGGGGAGAAAGGAUAAAUGAAUAAAGCUGGUACUUUAACCAUCUUAUAUUUUACAGGCAACAAACCAAAGGAUGAGGACAGCAGCAUUGCUGGGCCUGCCGUGGUACAUGCGAGAGACUACUUCAAAAUUCACAAAGAUAUGUGAGAGCCCAGUGACCGUGAAGAUGAUGUGAUUGGAAUCCUAGUGGUUGUGGACCUCUCCCAACAUUCUACUAUGACGUUGCCCUGAUGAUUGAGGAAGAAGUGGUAAUGCGUCACCUUAGUGAUGUACCUAAUGCUUUUCUGAACCUGAUGGGCCUGUUGUACGCAUUAAACCUUGACUACCCAAAGGAAUUAAAAUUCACAUUUGAAGUGAUACAGCGCCUGUUUAUUGGAGUCGGGUCAGACUCUUGCACUGCAAGAGUUCACUUUGAAGAGCAAGUGGCUGUGAUAAAACAGAAAAAAAUAAAAACAAACAAAUAUUUUUUCCUUCUUGCUACUGUUUAAUCGAUGGACUGGUUUAAAGUGUAAGCAUUGUUUUAUAUCUCAUUGUUUUAAGUGGAAUAUUGGUAUUCUUGAAAUUUUCAAACUGACUGUUUUGUUGUUGCCUUGUAAUGCUUCCUCUUUCCUUGUCAUGUUUCUACGAUUGGGAAUUGAAGAUCGUUUUUGAACAGUUUAAUGUGAAGUUUUUUUUAACACAACUUAUUGUGAAUUCUUCAUGUACGCUUGUUCCUGCAAUGAAAAUAUCUGAUAAUGACAAGGAGAGUUAUUUGUACUAUUUUGGCUCUAAGAUGGUUCUGUGCAUAGAGAUGUUAACAUAUGUUUGUGUGAGCUGUGUAUAUGUGAAGGUUUUC